AGAACGAACGCUGGCGGCAUGCCUAAUACAUGCAAGUCGAACGAACUCUUCGGAGUUAGUGGCGCACGGGUGCGUAACGCGUGGGAAUCUGCCCCUUGGGUUCGGAAUAACAGUUGGAAACGACUGCUAAUACCGGAUGAUGACGAAAGUCCAAAGAUUUAUCGCCCAGGGAUGAGCCCGCGUAGGAUUAGCUAGUUGGUAGAGGUAAAGGCUCACCAAGGCGACGAUCCUUAGCUGGUCUGAGAGGAUGAUCAGCCACACGUGGGACUGACGACACGGCCCAGACUCCGUACGGGAGCAGCAGUAGGAGAUGUAGA
This 317-nucleotide ribosomal RNA is filed under the name uncultured soil bacterium. RNAcentral's name for it is "bacterial SSU rRNA". It matches the Rfam family "Bacterial small subunit ribosomal RNA", at positions 26 to 367 of the family's 1533-position model. The record is from RNAcentral.